This 407-nucleotide ribosomal RNA is filed under the name uncultured bacterium. Its description in RNAcentral is "partial 16S ribosomal RNA". It matches the Rfam family "Bacterial small subunit ribosomal RNA", at positions 28 to 526 of the family's 1533-position model. The record is from RNAcentral.
GAUGAACGCUAGCUACAGGCUUAACACAUGCAAGUCGCGGGACCGGCGCACGGGUGAGUAACGCGUCUCCAACCUGCCCUUCACCACGGGAUAACCCGGCGAAAGUCGGACUAAUACCGUAUGGAGCAGGGUGGGGAUGCGUCCGAUGGGCUUGAAGGCGGGGUAACAGCCCACCGUGGCUACGGUCGGUGGGGGUGAUGAGAGGAAGGUCCCCCACACUGGAACUGAGACACGGUCCAGACUCCUACGGGAGGCAGAAGUGAGGAAUAUGGGUGAAUGGGCGUAAGCCUGAACCAGCCAAGUAGCGUGCAGGACGACGGCCUAUGGGUUGUAAACUGCUUUUAUGCGGGGAUAGGUACCGCAUGAAUAAGGACCGGCUAAUUCCGUGCCAGCAGCCGCGGUAAUAC